This 79-nucleotide transfer RNA is filed under the name Camelus bactrianus (Bactrian camel). It matches the Rfam family "tRNA". From Rfam's summary of the family: Transfer RNA (tRNA) molecules are approximately 80 nucleotides in length. The record is from Rfam by way of RNAcentral. RNAcentral also lists the same sequence under 2 other names. Lineage: Eukaryota; Metazoa; Chordata; Mammalia; Artiodactyla; Camelidae.
GGGGGUAUAGCUCAGUGGUAGAGCAUGUGCUUAGCAUACACUAAGCAUGAGGUCCUAGGUUUAAUCCUCAGUACCUCCA